Molecule: non-coding RNA, 42 nt
Submitted as: unclassified sequences
Source: Rfam
UGGGAAACAAUCCCAUGGAUGUGGCGCAAGCUGAACAAAGAG